CCCAGGGCCACUCGGUUAUACCCUGGAGAGCACCGUAAAGAUUGGUUGUAGAUUAUAUUGCAAUUAAUCAAGUGAUAGGCAGGUCGCGAGGGGUAGUAUAAUUUGGUCAAAUGAUAAUACUAUUUUAUUUUGAGCGCGCCUGAUGUUGCAUUAUAGAAUGAAAUCCGAGGUAGAAACCGGGAUUAGAUACCCCGUUAUUUCGGGAUGAAUGUUUAUGGGGAGUAUCCUUUGAGGGAAACCCAAAAAACUUGGCGGCUCUUCAUUCAUAUUAGGGGAACCUGCUGCAUAAUUUGUCAGUACACAAAAUACCUUUCCCCCUUUCGUCGACUCGUGGUGGGCUGAGGUUAAGUUGGUAUAUCGCUGUGUAGCUUACUUCUGAGAAGUCAGGCAUAAAGGUUGAAGGACACAAAGCCAUAAUCACAAGUCAAGAUGCUACUUAAAAGGGGGUGUCCGUGGGUUACUAUGGCAGAUUUGCUGAGGAAGGCAUAGUACAAACACUGUGCACCGAAAGAGGACUUAAUAGUAAGAUAUAUAUUGACCAUGGAAAGAAAUCACGAGCUCUUAGAGAAUAUAACUGAAAUCAGCUCUGGGGAGUGCACAUAUCGCCCGUCAUUCUAGCUAGGCUUUUUACUAUGGGUUAAGUUAGAUAAGUCGUAACUAGGAAAGGGGUUU
Molecule: ribosomal RNA, 672 nt
Filed under: Caecum glabellum
Lineage: Eukaryota; Metazoa; Mollusca; Gastropoda; Littorinimorpha; Caecidae
Description: partial 12S rRNA
Source: RNAcentral